This 497-nucleotide ribosomal RNA is filed under the name uncultured bacterium. RNAcentral describes it as "partial 16S ribosomal RNA". It matches the Rfam family "Bacterial small subunit ribosomal RNA", at positions 28 to 507 of the family's 1533-position model. The record is from RNAcentral.
GAUGAACGCUGGCGGCGUGCCUAAUACAUGCAAGUCGAGCGAACAGACGAGGAGCUUGCUCCUCUGACGUUAGCGGCGGACGGGUGAGUAACACGUGGAUAACCUACCUAUAAGACUGGGAUAACUUCGGGAAACCGGAGCUAAUACCGGAUAAUAUAUUGAACCGCAUGGUUCAAUAGUGAAAGACGGUUUUGCUGUCACUUAUAGAUGGAUCCGCGCCGCAUUAGCUAGUUGGUAAGGUAACGGCUUACCAAGGCAACGAUGCGUAGCCGACCUGAGAGGGUGAUCGGCUACACUGGAACUGAGACACGGUCCAGACUCCUACGGGAGGCAGCAGUAGGGAAUCUUCCGCAAUGGGCCAAAACCUGACGGAGCAACGCCGCGUGAGUGAUGAAGGUCUUCGGAUCGUAAAACUCUGUUAUUAGGGAAGAACAAAUGUGUAAGUAACUAUGCACGUCUUGACGGUACCUAAUCAGAAAGCCACGGCUAACUACGUG